GGUGGGAGAAAGAACAUUAGAUAAUAGAGAAGCCGAUCAUAAUUGGCUGCACAUAUAAAGGUCAGCCUAUAGAAUGACCAUUUGCCCAAAAGUGUGUGCCCAAAAUAUUUGAAUCUGUGAAUUCAAAUAAGCAUAUUUUAUGCUUUUUCAGUUGAAUGCCAUUUCUGACUGGCAGUUCAUAUUUCCACAAUUAACUUCCAAAGUUAAGAAAUAUAAUUUGAAUCAAGGCAAAAAAAAAAAAAAAGGAUGUCUUCAUAAUCCAUCCCUUAUUUAAUCUUACAGUUGCGUAGUCACUGACCUAUGUGUUCCAGCUGGAGAAAAAGAAAACAUCCAGAAUCAUCUAUAGACUUGGUCCUUUUUGUCUGGAGGAUCAUGUGAUUUGCAGACAGUGAACCCAAGGCCUCAUAGCCCUGAUGCUGCACUUUGCUCUUUUACAAGAGUUGCUGCUUUCCCAACACCCCCACCUGCCAGGAGGAGAGGAAGCCAGAGAGUGACGUGGACCUGUGACUGGUGGGAUUUAGUAGAAGCAUAUGAUGUAGUACUAAGGAGAGCAAUGAAUCAGAACAGGGAGAAGUCUGGCCUCUUCCAGUCCAUUCCCAGACCUGCCUCAUCUUCUACCCUAGAAUGAUUGACAAUAGAAACAUCCAAUUCCUUCAACCUCAUCCACCAGGUACUCUUUAGCCUUAGGCAAGGUGAUAGUAACAAUUUAAAUGGCAUACCUCAAAGUCUGGGUUAUUCAAUUUAAAAAACCCAUGGGUGGGUUGCCAACAGUUAAGGCAAGGUACAGCUGUUCCAAGGCUGUUCUAGGUCUUCACUGAAGCAUGAUGUUAAGAGAAGGUAAGACCUGGCUCCUGAUAUAGACUAUUCUAAACCAAUCUGUGAGCAAAUCCUUGUAUAAAAGACAUUCAUAUAUCCCAAGGGAAGGAGGCAAUUUUCAGGUACAAGGCUAAAUCCAUAUUUAGGAAAAAAAAUAUUAUCUGCCUCUGUCUCUGCAAAGGUGUAUUUAUGCUAAACAAAGCAAAAUGUACCUUGACCAAUGGCACAUUUAACAUGUUUAUCUGAAGUAUUAGCUUUCAGAUUAAUGGGGACUUAACAUUUUUGUCUAAGAACAAUAGGUGGUUAUUAUGUUUAUAAAAGUAUUCUGGUGUUUUUCCUAAAGUAAAAGAAUCUGCUCCAAAGGUGAAUUAAUGUUUCCAUUAAUACAUUUGAGAUGAUGUUUUUCAGUUAAUUAAAAAAAAAAAAACUUGAUUUCAUUUAAUAGAGAUGAGGAAGGCCCCUAUCCAGACUAGGGGCAGGAGGGAGUGAGGAUGGAGAAGCUGUGCAGGAUAGGGAAUGACUGCAGAGAGUGCUGAAGGUUGGGUUAGGAGCCAAGUGAGCUGGAGCAGAGAGGUCAGGAGAGAGUGAUCCAGACAUGAGACAGCUUUUGUGAAAUCUUAGAGACCAGAGAGAAGGAUGGUGCCUUCAAGAGGAGAUGAUAUGUUGGUUGCAAGAUCAUGGAGGGGGUGACAUUUUGGUUGAACAAUAGUGACAUUCACACUUAUUUAUGACUCCAAAAAAACUUCAAACCAUUAAACUUUGAUUAUGAAAAUCACUAGGCAAUUUGUAAAACAGACCCUCUCACCUCCUCUCUUAUUCUAGAGAUGGAGGGGGCACCAGGGAGAGAUGGUUAGGUUGAAAGUACAAUGAAUUGUUGUAGACUGUAUCAAAGACAACAUAGUUUGUAGACUAUGUCAAAAUGGACAUAAAACAUCUUAUUUCCUGAGGCUUUAUCACAAAAGCUUCUCUACCUAAUACCAUGCCUGUGGAAUUCUAUAUCUAUUUGAUGAAUAAAUGAUUAUGGGAAAAUUAUGAAGGAUUUUAA
RNAcentral lists this long non-coding RNA (1861 nucleotides) under Felis catus (domestic cat). RNAcentral describes it as "lncRNA (ENSFCAG00000047210.1)". The record is from RNAcentral. Lineage: Eukaryota; Metazoa; Chordata; Mammalia; Carnivora; Felidae.